UACGUAGGGUGCAAGCGUUAAUCGGAAUUACUGGGCGUAAAGCGUGCGCAGGCGGUUGGUUAAGACAGAUGUGAAAUCCCCGGGCUCAACCUGGGAACUGCAUUUGUGACUGGCCAGCUAGAGUAUGGCAGAGGGGGGUGGAAUUCCACGUGUAGCAGUGAAUGACGUAGAGAUGUGGAUGGAACAGCCAGACUGGAGCGGAACGGAGCAGCCCCCUGGGGCCAACUGACUGACGCUCAUGCACGAAAGCGUGGGGAGCGAAACAGG
Molecule: ribosomal RNA, 267 nt
Filed under: uncultured bacterium
Lineage: Bacteria
Description: partial 16S ribosomal RNA
Rfam family: Bacterial small subunit ribosomal RNA
Source: RNAcentral